This is a small nucleolar RNA of Trypanosoma cruzi marinkellei, 87 nucleotides long. It matches the Rfam family "Small nucleolar RNA TBR6". Rfam says of the family: TBR6 was one of seventeen snoRNAs identified in Trypanosoma brucei. Together with TBR2, TBR12 and TBR4 it is a part of snoRNA gene cluster that is tandemly repeated. NCBI's taxonomy places the organism in Eukaryota, Euglenozoa, Kinetoplastea, Trypanosomatida, Trypanosomatidae. The record is from Rfam.
CGCCGUGACAGUGAUGACCACAAGCUGUUUGCACAUUUGCCGACCCUGCGUGAGUGACCCACAGGAAUCUAAGAACACCAGCUGAUG